This is a non-coding RNA of Pimephales promelas (fathead minnow), 2072 nucleotides long. The record is from RefSeq and is a predicted model, not a curated record. Lineage: Eukaryota; Metazoa; Chordata; Actinopteri; Cypriniformes; Leuciscidae.
AUACUGAAGGGGCUGCAUAAACAGCAUCAUCGCUCUCCAAAAGCGUGGAGAGAGUUGAAAUAUCUGGCAGAUGUCUUCAACCAAAAGGUCUGGAGGAUGACCAACUUGGGAGGGACAAGGUGGCUCCAACACAUGGAGAGGGCACUCAGGGUCUUGCUGAAAAACUACCCAGUAUUGCUUUCCCAGAUGGAAAACUCAAUCAUCAAGUGCUGAAAUGAUUGGACCAGCCAAGCAGUGCCUUCAGGUGUUGAAAGAUAUUCAAUGCCUUCUCUUCAUCAUGCUGGUCCAAUACAUCAUAGAAGUCUUGAGUUGGAAAGUUUCUAUUAAAUAUAAUCUGAUAGGCAGGAAUAUAUAUAAAAAUAUAAGGCAGAAAAGUGUGUGGAGGGCUUCCUAGCUGAAACCAAGAAUGGGACCUAUCAAAAUCUUAAGCUGUUAAGUGUGAAGCGGACGCUCCUGCGCAGGGGGAUUGCCAGGCUAUAGUCCCGACUUAAGGGGGUUGAGUCUAAUCCGGUGCUGCGGCAAAACUGGUGGAUCCUCGCGAGAUCCUCCUGAUCAUCAAGAACUAGCAUGCUAUGGCAGGGACCACCUUGCCACGGUCUGUGAUCACUUUGCUAAUGUCCUUGACCGGAUUUGACAUUUUGGGACGAAGCGCAGCGUGUGGAGUGGCCUGCUGCUAAGGUCCUUAUUACAGAGCCCACAGAGGAAUGCUUGGCAAGACUUUUUUUCUGGAUAAUGAGUGAGAGAGUAGCUUCCCCGACCACCUCCUCAUUGUGGAGCCCAUCUUGGUCUUCCCUCUGUCCAUGGCAACAGUCGAGAGGGGCUUCAGUGCCAUGAAGAGUACAAAGACUGACUGGAGGAACAGCUUGAGCAUUGAAAUGCUGAAGAGCUUGCUCUUCAUUAGCUUGGAGGGUCCCAACUUGGAGCACUUCAUCCCCAUGCCAACAGUGAAGAGGUGGCUCAUGGAGGCGGAAAGGAGGAGUUUCCGGUGAAUAAAAUGGACCGCUGUAGGAGAAUAAGGGAGGGGCCCAUGGUGCUGGAGGUUAAGGUUUUCUUUCUACCCUAACCUGUCCUGGUUCCUGAUGUGGCCAUUAUUCUUUCAGUGUUUGUCCCUGUCUGCUACAGUUUUUAAAUAGUUUAUAUAAAAAGCUCACUUUUUCUGAGGCUUUUUUUCUUUGUCAUAUGACAUUAACUUGCAUAUCAUUGAGUAAGACUGUUGGUUGUACAAAAACAAAAUCGUUUAAUUGAGAAAAUAAUGCAGAUUGAUAUAUUUUUUUGAAAUAACAUACUUAUUUUACGCUUGCCUUAUAUGGUAGUUCCCUAUUAUUUAUUUUUAUGAUAACAAUUUAAAUGUUUGGCAUUAACUGUUGGAAAUUAAUUAUUUUAAUUUCAGUAAGGCAACUGACUGAGUUCAAAGAGUUGCAUGUACAAAAACUGGGAAAACUAUAAGUUUUUGACUAUAAGUCAAAAUAUUUGUAUUUUACUUUAAAGUUUAAAUGUUUAUAUGUAAUGUAAAUGUGUUUAAAAAAGAAAAGGGAAGAUGUAAUGAUAGUGGUUGGUUUUAUGGAGUAGUGGCAAACCUGUCUAGUAUAUGUAUAUGUUUGGCAACCUUGUCUAGUAUAUGUUUGUGCAUGUGCAGAAGGUGGGCAGAAACUAUUAGCAUGGUGCUAUAAAUCUAAACUUAUACUCAUCUAUGGCUCAGGAGUCUGUGAUUGAUCAUCCCAACUAAAACACUAUUAGGUUGAAAAGACUAUUUGUAAAGCUGUUUCAUGACGUCUCUGGGUCAGCACAGCUUUAAAAGUUGAUGAUUUUGUAAAAGGUGUAAUUGACAAAUCAAUUGAAGCAAAUCGUGAGUUUGAAUCAAGGUCAUGUUUUUUUAAAAGAUGAAUUGUUCAGCUCUAUAGACCUUUUUCACAAAAACCGGAAAUACGUAAUCGUUGUGGAAACGGAGUUCCCGUCAACUGUCGACACAUUAGAAAAACCUAGUUAUUUCAUCAGGGAGAGGUGAUUGUUUCCAGUUUUAUUGAUUUUCUUAAGACAUUAAGGAAACAAAUAAGCCUAUUAUUAUUAAAUUC